This 71-nucleotide transfer RNA is filed under the name Marmota monax (woodchuck). RNAcentral describes it as "tRNA.Ala". It matches the Rfam family "tRNA". From Rfam's summary of the family: Transfer RNA (tRNA) molecules are approximately 80 nucleotides in length. Their secondary structure includes four short double-helical elements and three loops (D, anti-codon, and T loops). The record is from RNAcentral. Lineage: Eukaryota; Metazoa; Chordata; Mammalia; Rodentia; Sciuridae.
GGGGUUGUGGCUCAGUGGUAGAGCAUUUGCCUAGCAUGCAUGAGGCACUGGGUUCAAUCCCCAGCACCACA